This 71-nucleotide transfer RNA is filed under the name Marmota monax (woodchuck). RNAcentral's name for it is "tRNA.Ala". Lineage: Eukaryota; Metazoa; Chordata; Mammalia; Rodentia; Sciuridae. The record is from RNAcentral.
GUGGCUGUGGCUCAGUGGUAGAGUGCUCACCUAGCAUGUGCGGGGCCCUGGGUUCCAUCCUCAACAUCACA